This 94-nucleotide microRNA precursor is filed under the name Trypanosoma congolense IL3000. Lineage: Eukaryota; Euglenozoa; Kinetoplastea; Trypanosomatida; Trypanosomatidae. The record is from RNAcentral.
UGGAGCAGAGUGGAUUAGGGAAGAACAAGCGAAGCAAGGGAGAAUGUGGGCCGUUUGUCCUUCCCUAAUCCACUCUGCAACAACAACAACAAAA